Molecule: RNase P RNA, 396 nt
Filed under: Sphingomonas endophytica
Lineage: Bacteria; Pseudomonadati; Pseudomonadota; Alphaproteobacteria; Sphingomonadales; Sphingomonadaceae
Description: bacterial RNase P
Rfam family: Bacterial RNase P class A
About the family: Ribonuclease P (RNase P) is a ubiquitous endoribonuclease, found in archaea, bacteria and eukarya as well as chloroplasts and mitochondria.
Source: RNAcentral
CCAGAGGGCCGGGCGGCCGCGUCACGCGAUCUGCGUGCCGAGGAAAGUCCGGGCUCCACGGAAACACGGUGGCGGGUAACGCCCGCCGGCCAAGGGCGCGAGCCCGCGGUCAGGGACAGUGCAACAGAGAGCAGACGGCCAGGGCUUCGGCCCGGUCAUGGUGAAAGGGUGCGGUAAGAGCGCACCGCGCGGCCGGUAACGGCCGUGGCACGGUAAACCCCACCGGGAGCAAGACCGAAUAGGGGCGGCAUGGCGGCGUUCCGCGUCGUCGGGGUGUGUUCCCACCCGCUGCCCGGGUUGGUUGCUGGAGCGCGUCGGCAACGGCGCGCCGAGAGGAAUGGUCGCCUAUCCCCUUCAUGGGGUGGACAGAACCCGGCUUACAGGCCCUCUGGCAAA